This 617-nucleotide ribosomal RNA is filed under the name Streptococcus mutans. RNAcentral describes it as "bacterial SSU rRNA". It matches the Rfam family "Bacterial small subunit ribosomal RNA", at positions 364 to 971 of the family's 1533-position model. Lineage: Bacteria; Bacillati; Bacillota; Bacilli; Lactobacillales; Streptococcaceae. The record is from RNAcentral.
UUCGGCAAUGGACGAAAGUCUGACCGAGCAACGCCGCGUGAGUGAAGAAGGUUUUCGGAUCGUAAAGCUCUGUUGUAAGUCAAGAACGUGUGUGAGAGUGGAAAGUUCACACAGUGACGGUAGCUUACCAGAAAGGGACGGCUAACUACGUGCCAGCAGCCGCGGUAAUACGUAGGUCCCGAGCGUUGUCCGGAUUUAUUGGGCGUAAAGGGAGCGCAGGCGGUCAGGAAAGUCUGGAGUAAAAGGCUAUGGCUCAACCAUAGUGUGCUCUGGAAACUGUCUGACUUGAGUGCAGAAGGGGAGAGUGGAAUUCCAUGUGUAGCGGUGAAAUGCGUAGAUAUAUGGAGGAACACCAGUGGCGAAAGCGGCUCUCUGGUCUGUCACUGACGCUGAGGCUCGAAAGCGUGGGUAGCGAACAGGAUUAGAUACCCUGGUAGUCCACGCCGUAAACGAUGAGUGCUAGGUGUUAGGCCCUUUCCGGGGCUUAGUGCCGGAGCUAACGCAAUAAGCACUCCGCCUGGGGGAGUACGACCGCAAGGUUGAAACUCAAAGGAAUUGACGGGGGCCCGCACAAGCGGUGGAGCAUGUGGUUUAAUUCGAGGCAACGCGAAGAACCU